This 355-nucleotide ribosomal RNA is filed under the name uncultured Rhodocyclaceae bacterium. RNAcentral's name for it is "bacterial SSU rRNA". It matches the Rfam family "Bacterial small subunit ribosomal RNA", at positions 1026 to 1382 of the family's 1533-position model. Lineage: Bacteria; Pseudomonadati; Pseudomonadota; Betaproteobacteria; Rhodocyclales; Rhodocyclaceae. The record is from RNAcentral.
CGUCCCGCACAGGUGCUGCAUGGCUGUCGUCAGCUCGUGUCGUGAGAUGUUGGGUUAAGUCCCGCAACGAGCGCAACCCUUGUCAUUAGUUGCCAUCAUUUGGUUGGGCACUCUAAUGAGACUGCCGGUGACAAACCGGAGGAAGGUGGGGAUGACGUCAAGUCCUCAUGGCCCUUAUGGGUAGGGCUUCACACGUCAUACAAUGGUCGGUACAGAGGGUUGCCAACCCGCGAGGGGGAGCUAAUCCCACAAAGCCGAUCGUAGUCCGGAUCGCAGUCUGCAACUCGACUGCGUGAAGUCGGAAUCGCUAGUAAUCGUGGAUCAGCAUGUCACGGUGAAUACGUUCCCGGGUCUU